UAAUCUCACCCCUUUUGACUUUGCCGUCGAUCGGUGUGGACUUGGAUGUUGCCGUGUAACAAACGGCUCGUCUGAAAUGCCUGAGUGUACCCCGCUUUGCGGCGUAUUCGGUGUGAUAAAUCUUCGCCGGAGUUGACUUUCGAGUCGCGCUUGUACUGUGGGCUCUAUGCUUCCAACCGUCCCGAAAGGACAAUUUUUGACA
RNAcentral lists this unclassified non-coding RNA (202 nucleotides) under uncultured Serendipita. Its description in RNAcentral is "partial internal transcribed spacer 2". The record is from RNAcentral. Lineage: Eukaryota; Fungi; Basidiomycota; Agaricomycetes; Sebacinales.